AUCAAUCAUCAAGAUGACACUCGAUGAGUCUCACGAUCCUCCAAUGACACCUAACAGUAUGUAGUGGCACUCUAGUAGAAUAAAAUAUUAAAUCUCUAGGUGCAGUUACUGUGUAGUUCGGUUCUUCAGUCAUGAGUUUCGAGAAGACGCAGGUCAAAGAUAACUCGUUAAACCCAUUCAUCUAUCAUAUAUCAGAUUCAAUUGACUUGAGUCCAUAUAAAGCCUUAUAAAAGCUCCUUUCCAUCAUUCACCUACCAUGGCCAU
Molecule: long non-coding RNA, 264 nt
Filed under: Elaeis guineensis (African oil palm)
Lineage: Eukaryota; Viridiplantae; Streptophyta; Magnoliopsida; Arecales; Arecaceae
Description: long non-coding RNA (EGUI_LNC046819)
Source: RNAcentral